AUGUUUUCCUUCAAAUGUUUAAUUGAUAAUGUCUACAGGCAGAUAUAAAGGAUAUUGUUAGUACGCAGGACCAGGUGAUUGAGUUGCAUGACAAGUACCUGGCAUAUGUGAACUCUUGUUUCCAGAAUCACACCCUUUUCCAUAAGGCUCUUAAAGAGGCUUUUGAGGUCUUUUGCAACAAAGGUGUUGCUGGAAACUCUAGUGCAGAACUUCUUGCCACUUUUUGUGAUAACAGUCUCAACAAUGGAUGUUUUCAUUAUUUUAUGGACUUUGGCGGUACAUGUUCCACAAGUUAGAGCUUCAUGUACUCAUUUUAGGGAUUGACAAGGCUGGCAAAACGACUUUGCUUGAGAAGAUGAAGUCGGUGUACACGAAUGUAGAAGGUCUUCCUUCGGAUUGAAUUGGGGAAAGCAAUUGCUUCUCUAGGGCGUGGUAUUUUUUCCAUGAAUGAAUCCAAUGCUACAUGUGGAAAGCGGUUGGAUUCAAUUGGACUAGAGAACACCGAAGCUAACCGUCAAGCAUGGCGUAAAAUUAUAUAUGAAGAAAGUGUUAUGACUUGGUUAAAAUAUAAUUUUUAUGUGUAUGAUUUUAUAGUACUUGAAAUAUUAUG
This is a long non-coding RNA of Vicia villosa (hairy vetch), 610 nucleotides long. RefSeq lists it as uncharacterized. Lineage: Eukaryota; Viridiplantae; Streptophyta; Magnoliopsida; Fabales; Fabaceae. The record is from RefSeq and is a predicted model, not a curated record. The transcript is spliced from 3 exons.